RNAcentral lists this long non-coding RNA (396 nucleotides) under Malus domestica (apple). RNAcentral describes it as "long non-coding RNA (MDOM_LNC009767)". The record is from RNAcentral. Lineage: Eukaryota; Viridiplantae; Streptophyta; Magnoliopsida; Rosales; Rosaceae.
AGAAUUGUGAAUUGGUUUCGUGGGGUCUCUCCUUUCCUCAAUUGGGUCGCCGGAAAUUCUCGAUUCCGGGACCUGAAUCCGAUUGAUUAUGACAUAUGGCGAAGGGCCGGAAACUGACGCAGAGCCGCAGCGAACGGUUGCUCGGGACCUACAGCGGCUACAGCCACGCCCAUGACUCGCCGGAGCUCGGCGAGGACGAUGUCUGGUCGAUGGUCAACAGCGUCGACGAGAGGGAGGACCACGAAACCGAGAACUCGCAGGGCGAAUGGAGCCCACACGCCUUCCCGGAGAGCACCGUUGGUAUUCAGGCGAGGAAGGGCCGCCAUAUUGCCAGAGACGACCGCAACGUGGGCGGGCUGUCAUUGGCCUUUGACGAUUCUGGCAAGACGGCGUCGU